Patella vulgata (common limpet) is the source of this 1505-nucleotide long non-coding RNA. RefSeq lists it as uncharacterized. The record is from RefSeq and is a predicted model, not a curated record. The transcript has 2 exons. NCBI's taxonomy places the organism in Eukaryota, Metazoa, Mollusca, Gastropoda, Patellidae.
GGGAACCUUCGUUAAACAACAUGAAGACUUUUAUACUGGUGAGCUGUUUGAUUCUGCUACUGUUAGUAGUUACAGAUACAGACGGUUGGCUCAGAGGAAGAACCAGGCCCGGGGCGCCCAGGCAGACCAGGCCGACCAGGCCACUCAAGCCAGCCAGACCGCCCAGGCCACCCAGGCCACCCAGACGGCCCAGGCCACCCAGGUUGCCCAGGCCGCGCAGGCCACCCAGGUUGCCCAGGCCGCGCAGGCUGCCCAGGCUGCCCAGACUGCCCAGGCUGCCCAGGCUGCCCAGGUUGCCCAUACCCUUUCCCAGAGGAUAAUCCUUUGUUUUGCAAAAGGAAACAACUUGGGUUAGUUGCUUAGUAUUAUGAUUAAUCUCAUAAUCCUAAAUCCUUAGAUGUAAAAAUAUUUUUGGAACGUAAAUCCAAAGAUCUAAUUCACACGAGAAAUACACACAUCCUAUUGGAAUGUAUAAUUAUACUUACUAUAUUGUGUUUAUAUAUUUAUAUUAAAGACGCAUUAUGCCUUUUAAAGGUCUUUAUUUUGGCUUCAAAUCUUAUAUUAACAAUUAUUGAAGAAUAAUAAUAAAAUCGACAGUUGAAAAAGACCCGGAAAUUAUUUUGAACGAAUUGUAUUCUAUGCUAAUGGCAUGCAAUGGAUAAACUGUCUUGCGCAGCUUGUGUACUUAACCUAUUAACAGCGUAAAAACUUGGUGUCCGCCUACCUACAGGAUCUUAUUUAUUCUAACCAACUGUUUGUGGGUGGUGCAAUCUCCCCUGCACUUACAAUUAGACAUUUAUUCAUAUGACAAUUCUAUAAUCAACUCUCUAGACCAUAGAGUGACCCUGAUUGAAAUGUAUUUGAACAACCGCCGAAUAAAAAUUGUAACGAUAAAAUAGAUAAUCGACACCCAGUCUCGAUUGUCAAGUACCAUUGCUACGAUAAUAAACAGUCUGCACAACAUGGUGUAUAAACUUCAAACACUUAGAACUUCGCCCAGAAUAAAGUUAAUUGAAUGAAAUUUUCAAUAUAUUUAUUUUUCAUUGUCUAUUUAUGAACUAUUUUUGCAAGAACAGACAACUCUAUAUCUAAAUCUUACAUAAUGCAUUUUUAGGUGUUCAAAUAUUAUACAUUGAUAGGGAACGGACAACUCUCUAUCUAAAUCUUACAUAAUGUCUAUUUAGGUGUUCAAAUAUUAUACAUUGAUAGUGUUCAAAUAUUAUACAUUGAUAGUGUUCAAAUAUUAUACAUUGAUAGUGUUCAAAUAUUAUACAUUUAUAGGGAACGGAAGGCUAAUAAAUCAUAAUUUAAAUAUAUUAAAUGCGAUCGUUAUUCCAAGGUCUAUGUAUAAUGUGUACUGUACUCAUAAAAUAAGAUAACGUGUCUUCCAUUACAGAUCGUUGAAGAUGGUCCAUUACAAUCCGAAGAAUUAAUUUCAGUUUAUAUAUAUUCCAUACACAGAUUCUGAUAUAUACUUUGUUACAGUAAUAAAACAGUUUCUAAUA